RNAcentral lists this transfer RNA (62 nucleotides) under Neopanorpa lui. RNAcentral's name for it is "tRNA-Cys". RNAcentral also lists the same sequence under 1 other name. The record is from RNAcentral. Lineage: Eukaryota; Metazoa; Arthropoda; Insecta; Mecoptera; Panorpidae.
GGCUUUAUAGUCAAUUAUGACGUUAGACUGCAAUUCUAAAGGAGUAUUUUAUACUAAGGCUU